AGCGGCAGGCUUAACACAUGCAAGUCGAGGGGCAGCAUGUCCAGCAAUGGAUGAUGGCGACCGGCGGAAGGGUGCGUAACGCGUGAGCAACAUGCCCUAUACAGGGAGAUACACCAGGGAAACUUGGUCUAAUAUCCCAUAGCAUUCAUUGAAGGCAUCUUUAAUGAAUUAAAGCUUCGGUGGUAUAGGAUUGGCUCGCGUGACAUUAGCCAGAUGGUGAGGUAACGGCUCACCAUAGCAAUGAUGUCUAGGGGUUUUGAGAGGAAGGCCCCCCACACUGGGACUGAGACACGGCCCAGACUCCUACGGGAGGCAGCAGUGAGGAAUAUUGGACAAUGGAUGGAAAUCUGAUCCAGCCAUGCCGCGUGCAGGAAGACGGCCUUAUGGGUUGUAAACUGCUUUUAUACGGGAGCAAUAAGGGUUACGAGUAAUCCGAUGAGAGUACUGUAUGAAUAAGGAUCGGCUAACUCCGUG
RNAcentral lists this ribosomal RNA (474 nucleotides) under uncultured bacterium. RNAcentral describes it as "bacterial SSU rRNA". It matches the Rfam family "Bacterial small subunit ribosomal RNA", at positions 39 to 507 of the family's 1533-position model. The record is from RNAcentral.